UCGAGAUGAUGAGGGCAGCUUGCACAUAAUCUCUUGAAUUUCUCCUAAUAUUCAUAUAAACCCUCUGCAUGUAGUUGUCUGAUUCCAGAAAUAUAUUUUCUUAUUGU
Molecule: non-coding RNA, 107 nt
Organism: Lupinus angustifolius (narrow-leaved blue lupine)
Lineage: Eukaryota; Viridiplantae; Streptophyta; Magnoliopsida; Fabales; Fabaceae
Source: Rfam